GACAGAGGUGCCAAGCGUUAGGCGGAAUCACUGGGCUUAAAGCGUGUGUAGGUGGAAGCGUAAGUACCUUGUGAAAUCCCACGGCUCAACCGUGGAACUGCUGGGUAUACUGCUUUUCUUGAGCCACUUAGGGGCUGUCGGAACAAACGGUGGAGCGGUGAAAUGCGUAGAUAUCGUUUGGAACGCCAAUGGUGAAAACAGACAGCUGGGAGUGUGCUGACGCUGAGACACGAAAGCCAGGGGAGCGAACGGG
RNAcentral lists this ribosomal RNA (253 nucleotides) under uncultured bacterium. Its description in RNAcentral is "partial 16S ribosomal RNA". It matches the Rfam family "Bacterial small subunit ribosomal RNA", at positions 524 to 776 of the family's 1533-position model. The record is from RNAcentral.